GACAGACAGGUUAGACAGACAGACAGACAUUACCCCAGUGGAGGUCUCUGAGGACAGACAGGUUAGACAGAGAGACAGACAUUACCCCAGUGGAGGUCUCUGAGGACAGACAGGUUAGACAGAGAGACAGACAUUACCCCAGUGGAGGUCUCUGAGGACAGGAAGACAGGUUAGACAGAGAGACAGACAUUACCCCAGUGGAGGUCUCUGAGGACAGGAAGACAGGUUAGACAGAGAGACAGACAUUACCCCAGUGGAGGUCUCUGAGGACAGGAAGACAGGUUAGACAGACAGACAGACAGACAGACAGACAUUACCCCAGUGGAGGUCUCUGAGGACAGACAGGUUAGACAGAGAGACAGACAUUACCCCAGUGGAGGUCUCUGAGGACAGGAAGACAGGUUAGACAGAGAGACAGACAUUACCCCAGUGGAGGUCUCUGAGGACAGACAGGUUAGACAGACAGACAGACAGAAAGACAGACAUUACCCCAGUGGAGGUCUCUGAGGACAGACAGGUUAGACAGAGAGACAGACAUUACCCCAGUGGAGGUCUCUGAGGACAGGAAGACAGGUUAGACAGAGAGACAGACAUUACCCCAGUGGAGGUCUCUGAGGACAGGAAGACAGGUUAGACAGACAGACAGACAGACAGACAUUACCCCAGUGGAGGUCUCUGAGGACAGACAGGUUAGACAGAGAGACAGACAUUACCCCAGUGGAGGUCUCUGAGGACAGGAAGACAGGUUAGACAGAGAGACAGACAUUACCCCAGUGGAGGUCUCUGAGGACAGACAGGUUAGACAGAGAGACAGACAUUACCCCAGUGGAGGUCUCUGAGGACAGACAGGUUAGACAGACAGACAGACAUUACCCCAGUGGAGGUCUCUGAGGACAGGAAGACAGGUUAGACAGAGAGACAGACAUUACCCCAGUGGAGGUCUCUGAGGACAGGAAGACAGGUUAGACAGACAGACAGACAUUACCCCAGUGGAGGUCUCUGAGGACAGGAAGACAGGUUAGACAGACAGACAGACAUUACCCCAGUGGAGGUCUCUGAGGACAGGAAGACAGGUUAGACAGAGAGACAGACAGAGAGACAGACAUUACCCCAGUGGAGGUCUCUGAGGACAGGAAGACAGGUUAGACAGAGAGACAGACAGAGACAGACAUUACCCCAGUGGAGGUCUCUGAGGACAGGAAGACAGGUUAGACAGAGAGACAGACAGAGAGACAGACAUUACCCCAGUGGAGGUCUCUGAGGACAGGAAGACAGGUUAGACAGAGAGACAGACAGAGACAGACAUUACCCCAGUGGAGGUCUCUGAGGACAGGAAGACAGGUUAGACAGAGAGACAGACAUUACCCCAGUGGAGGUCUCUGAGGACAGGAAGACAGGUUAGACAGAGAGACAGACAUUACCCCAGUGGAGGUCUCUGAGGACAGGAAGACAGGUUAGACAGACAGACAGACAUUACCCCAGUGGAGGUCUCUGAGGACAGGAAGACAGGUUAGACAGAGACAGACAUUACCCCAGUGGAGGUCUCUGAGGACAGGAAGACAGGUUAGACAGAGAGACAGACAUUACCCCAGUGGAGGUCUCUGAGGACAGGAAGACAGGUUAGACAGAGAGACAGACAGAGACAGACAGACAGACAGACAUUACCCCAGUGGAGGUCUCUGAGGACAACAGGUUACUAACACACACAGUUAGGUGUUACCAGACAGAGAGACAGACAGAGAGACAGACAGACAGACAGACAGACAGACAGACAGACAGACAGACAGACCUGUGUU
Molecule: long non-coding RNA, 1796 nt
Organism: Oncorhynchus keta (chum salmon)
Lineage: Eukaryota; Metazoa; Chordata; Actinopteri; Salmoniformes; Salmonidae
Exons: 9
Source: RefSeq, a predicted model, not a curated record